This 465-nucleotide ribosomal RNA is filed under the name uncultured Lactococcus sp. RNAcentral describes it as "bacterial SSU rRNA". It matches the Rfam family "Bacterial small subunit ribosomal RNA", at positions 338 to 795 of the family's 1533-position model. Lineage: Bacteria; Bacillati; Bacillota; Bacilli; Lactobacillales; Streptococcaceae. The record is from RNAcentral.
CCUACGGGAGGCAGCAGUAGGGAAUCUUCGGCAAUGGACGAAAGUCUGACCGAGCAACGCCGCGUGAGUGAAGACGGUUUUCGGAUCGUAAAACUCUGUUGGUCGAGACGAACGUUGGUGAGAGUGGAAAGCUCAUCAAGUGACGGUAACUACACAGAAAGGGACGGCUAACUACGUGCCAGCAGCCGCGGUAAUACGUAGGUCCCGAGCGUUGUCCGGAUUUAUUGGGCGUAAAGCGAGCGCAGGUGGUUUAUUAAGUCUGGUGUAAAAGGCAGUGGCUCAACCAUUGUAUGCAUUGGAAACUGGUAGACUGGAGUGCAGGAGAGGAGAGUGGAAUUCCAUGUGUAGCGGUGAAAUGCGUAGAUAUAUGGAGGAACACCGGUGGCGAAAGCGGCUCUCUGGCCUGUAACUGACACUGAGGCUCGAAAGCGGGGGGAGCAAACAGGAUUAGAUACCCCUGUAGUC